RNAcentral lists this ribosomal RNA (465 nucleotides) under uncultured bacterium. RNAcentral's name for it is "partial 16S ribosomal RNA". It matches the Rfam family "Bacterial small subunit ribosomal RNA", at positions 338 to 795 of the family's 1533-position model. The record is from RNAcentral.
CCUACGGGAGGCAGCAGUGGGGAAUAUUGCGCAAUGGGCGAAAGCCUGACGCAGCGACGCCGCGUGAGGGAUGAAGGUCUUCGGAUCGUAAACCUCUGUCAGCAGGGAAGAACGGUCACUGUGCUAAUCAGCAGUGAAUUGACGGUACCUGCAAAGGAAGCACCGGCUAACUCCGUGCCAGCAGCCGCGGUAAUACGGGGGGUGCGAGCGUUAAUCGGAAUUACUGGGCGUAAAGCGCUCGUAGGCGGUAUGUCAAGUCAAGGGUGAAAUCCCCGCGCUCAACGUGGGAACUGCCUUUGAAACUGGCAAACUGGAGUGUGGGAGAGGAGAGUGGAAUUCCAGGUGUAGGAGUGAAAUCCGUAGAUAUCGGGAGGAACAUCAGUGGCGAAGGCGACUAUCUGGAACAUAACUGACGCUGAGGAGCGAAAGCGUGGGUAGCAAACAGGAUUAGAUACCCUUGUAGUC